Molecule: ribosomal RNA, 253 nt
Filed under: uncultured bacterium
Lineage: Bacteria
Description: partial 16S ribosomal RNA
Rfam family: Bacterial small subunit ribosomal RNA
Source: RNAcentral
UACGUAGGUGGCAAGCGUUAUCCGGAAUUAUUGGGCGUAAAGCGCGCGCAGGCGGUUUCUUAAGUCUGAUGUGAAAGCCCACGGCUCAACCGUGGAGGGUCAUUGGAAACUGGGGAACUUGAGUGCAGAAGAGAAAAGCGGAAUUCCACGUGUAGCGGUGAAAUGCGUAGAGAUGUGGAGGAACACCAGUGGCGAAGGCGACUUUCUGGGCUGUAACUGACGCUGAGGCGCGAAAGCGUGGGGAGCAAACAGG